CCUACGGGUGGCAGCAGUGGGGAAUAUUGCACAAUGGGGGAAACCCUGAUGCAGCGACGCCGCGUGAGGGAAGAAGUAUCUCGGUACGUAAAGCUCUAUCAGCAGGGACGAAACUGACGGUACCUGACUAAGAAGCCGCGGCUAACUACGUGCCAGCAGCCGCGGUAAUACGUAGGGGGCAAGCGUUAUCCGGAUUUACUGGGUGUAAAGGGAGCGUAGACGGCAGUACAAGUAUGGAGUGAAAUCCCGGGGCUGAACCCCGGACCUGCUUUGGAAACUGUGCGGCUGGAGUGCAGGAGGGGUAAGCGGAAUUCCGAGUGUAGCGGUGAAAUGCGUAGAUAUUAGGAGGAACACCGGUGGCGAAGGCGGCUUACUGGACUGUAACUGACGUUGAGGCUCGAAAGCGUGGGGAGCAAACAGGAUUAGAUACCCCUGUAGUC
This 440-nucleotide ribosomal RNA is filed under the name uncultured bacterium. RNAcentral describes it as "partial 16S ribosomal RNA". It matches the Rfam family "Bacterial small subunit ribosomal RNA", at positions 338 to 795 of the family's 1533-position model. The record is from RNAcentral.